GACGAACGCUGGCGGCGUGCUUAACACAUGCAAGUCGAACGGAAAGGCCCUGCUUUUGUGGGGUGCUCGAGUGACGAACGGGUGAGUAACACGUGAGUAACCCGCCCUUGACUUUGGGAUAACUUCAGGAAACUGGGGCUAAUACCGGAUAGGAGCUCCUGCUGCAUGGUGGGGGUUGGAAAGUUUCGGCGGUUGGGGAUGGACUCGCGGCUUAUCAGCUUGUUGGUGGGGUAGUGGCUUACCAAGGCUUUGACGGGUAGCCGGCCUGAGAGGGUGACCGGCCACAUUGGGACUGAGAUACGGCCCAGACUCCUACGGGAGGCAGCAGUGGGGAAUAUUGCACAAUGGGCGGAAGCCUGAUGCAGCAACGCCGCGUGCGGGAUGACGGCCUUCGGGUUGUAAACCGCUUUCGCCUGUGACGAAGCGUGAGUGACGGUAAUGGGUAAAGAAGCACCGGCUAACUACGUGCCAGCAGCCGCGGUGAUACGUAGGGUGCGAGCGUUGUCCGGAUUUAUUGGGCGUAAAGGGCUCGUAGGUGGUUGAUCGCGUCGGAAGUGUAAUCUUGGGGCUUAACCCUGAGCGUGCUUUCGAUACGGGUUGACUUGAGGAAGGUAGGGGAGAGUGGAAUUCCUGGUGGAGCGGUGGAAUGCGCAGAUAUCAGGAGGAACACCAGUGGCGAAGGCGGUUCUCUGGGCCUUUCCUGACGCUGAGGAGCGAAAGCGUGGGGAGCGAACAGGCUUAGAUACCCUGGUAGUCCACGCUGUAAACGGUGGGUACUAGGUGUGGGGUCCAUUCCACGGGUUCCGUGCCGUAGCUAACGCUUUAAGUACCCCGCCUGGGGAGUACGGCCGCAAGGCUAAAACUCAAAGGAAUUGACGGGGCCCCGCACAAGCGGCGGAGCAUGCGGAUUAAUUCGAUGCAACGCGUAGAACCUUACCUGGGUUUGACAUGGAUCGGGAGCGCUCAGAGAUGGGUGUGCCUCUUUUGGGGUCGGUUCACAGGUGGUGCAUGGCUGUCGUCAGCUCGUGUCGUGAGAUGUUGGGUUAAGUCCCGCAACGAGCGCAACCCUUGUUCACUGUUGCCAGCACGUUAUGGUGGGGACUCAGUGGAGACCGCCGGGGUCAACUCGGAGGAAGGUGGGGAUGACGUCAAGUCAUCAUGCCCCUUAUGUCCAGGGCUUCACGCAUGCUACAAUGGCUGGUACAGAGAGUGGCGAGCCUGUGAGGGUGAGCGAAUCUCGGAAAGCCGGUCUCAGUUCGGAUUGGGGUCUGCAACUCGACCUCAUGAAGUCGGAGUCGCUAGUAAUCGCAGAUCAGCAACGCUGCGGUGAAUACGUUCCCGGGGCU
Molecule: ribosomal RNA, 1346 nt
Filed under: uncultured bacterium
Lineage: Bacteria
Description: bacterial SSU rRNA
Rfam family: Bacterial small subunit ribosomal RNA
Source: RNAcentral